Long non-coding RNA from Carassius auratus (goldfish), 463 nucleotides. RefSeq lists it as uncharacterized. The transcript is spliced from 3 exons. The record is from RefSeq and is a predicted model, not a curated record. Lineage: Eukaryota; Metazoa; Chordata; Actinopteri; Cypriniformes; Cyprinidae.
CGAGCUGUCAGGUGAAGAAUGGCUUUCUCACGCUGCGAGUGUGAGCGGAGGACACCCUCGAGUGAUGCACUUCUACUGCAGUUAAAUGAAGCUGGAUUACUGCCAGAAGAAAUCCAUUCCUGUGACUUCAGCUCUGUUACCUGGAAUACAUCAAUGAGACGCAGCCGUGACUCGAGUGACUCAGAUUUACGGAGAAACAUCUUCCCUCACACUUCCAUUGUGUUUGGAGUGUGAAUCCGGUGGAGUGUGAGGAGUGUGUUUGCGUUCCAUUCGUUUGAGAACUGUCAAGGUGGAAACAUGUUGAAAAGAUGAGAGAUCCUGAUCUACUUCAACAUCUUCUCACAAUCCCCAGCAGAGGUCAGCCUUGUCUCAUCAUCUUCACUCUUUAUUACCAUCAUCUGAUUAAAGGCUCUCUUAUGAAGAGCACUUUGUAAAGUUUGCAUGUUUUCUUGUUCUGCUGAUA